This 359-nucleotide long non-coding RNA is filed under the name Salvia miltiorrhiza (redroot sage). RNAcentral describes it as "long non-coding RNA (SMIL_LNC009452)". Lineage: Eukaryota; Viridiplantae; Streptophyta; Magnoliopsida; Lamiales; Lamiaceae. The record is from RNAcentral.
AAGGAAAUCCCUAAAGGAAAAUAGAAGUCUUCCCCAUUAAAGUAGAUUGAGCCAUGACUGGAUUUAAGAAAAGCUUCUGUCGUAGUUUCUGCCCUGAAUAAGCGCAGGGUUGGAUAACUUGUGCUCCGUUAGCAACUGCGUUCGCUCGAUCACCCCUAACAUCUGUGACAGUUUCAGCAACUUGUCGCGGCUGAGGCAAAGUUAACAAGAUUUCUUCUGGUCAGCUGGUAGGUAUCCCCAUUGCUGUCGUGUGUUCCCAAAAUAGAACAUGUUAAAAGUCUAUAGAACGAGUUAUCACGAGAUUCUGCCCUCAACCCGAGAGAUAACCAACACAGAUGACAAUUAGAAUAGUUGUCGCA